UUUUUUAUAGUAUAGGGAAGUACAUUUACCUUCCAAGUAAAAAGACCUAAUCAGGUCCUAUUAUAAGAUAA
Molecule: transfer RNA, 71 nt
Filed under: Oxyloma wujiaquensis
Lineage: Eukaryota; Metazoa; Mollusca; Gastropoda; Stylommatophora; Succineidae
Description: tRNA-Gly
Source: RNAcentral